Molecule: ribosomal RNA, 540 nt
Filed under: Eurotium sp. IT1810708
Lineage: Eukaryota; Fungi; Ascomycota; Eurotiomycetes; Eurotiales; Aspergillaceae
Description: eukaryotic LSU rRNA
Rfam family: 5.8S ribosomal RNA (bases 164-317)
Source: RNAcentral
CAACCUCCCACCCGUGUCUAUCGUACCUUGUUGCUUCGGCGGGCCCGCCGUUUCGACGGCCGCCGGGGAGGCCUUGCGCCCCCGGGCCCGCGCCCGCCGAAGACCCCAACAUGAACGCUGUUCUGAAAGUAUGCAGUCUGAGUUGAUUAUCGUAAUCAGUUAAAACUUUCAACAACGGAUCUCUUGGUUCCGGCAUCGAUGAAGAACGCAGCGAAAUGCGAUAAGUAAUGUGAAUUGCAGAAUUCAGUGAAUCAUCGAGUCUUUGAACGCACAUUGCGCCCCCUGGUAUUCCGGGGGGCAUGCCUGUCCGAGCGUCAUUGCUGCCCUCAAGCACGGCUUGUGUGUUGGGCCCCCGUCCCCCUCUCCCGGGGGACGGGCCCGAAAGGCAGCGGCGGCACCGCGUCCGGUCCUCGAGCGUAUGGGGCUUUGUCACCUGCUCUGUAGGCCCGGCCGGCGCCAGCCGACACCCAACUUUAUUUUUCUAAGGUUGACCUCGGAUCAGGUAGGGAUACCCGCUGAACUUAAGCAUAUCAAUAAGGC